This 1434-nucleotide ribosomal RNA is filed under the name Geobacillus sp. LEMMY01. RNAcentral's name for it is "bacterial LSU rRNA". It matches the Rfam family "Bacterial large subunit ribosomal RNA", at positions 1 to 1431 of the family's 2925-position model. Lineage: Bacteria; Bacillati; Bacillota; Bacilli; Caryophanales; Anoxybacillaceae. The record is from RNAcentral.
AGGUUAAGCUGGAAAGGGCGCACGGUGGAUGCCUUGGCACUAGGAGCCGAUGAAGGACGGGGCAAACGCCGAAACGCUUCGGGGAGCUGUAAGCAAGCGUGGAUCCGGAGAUGUCCGAAUGGGGGAACCCACUGUCCGUAAUGGGGCAGUAUCCAUGYCUGAAUCCAUAGGGCAUGGAGGGCACACCCGGGGAACUGAAACAUCUUAGUACCCGGAGGAGAAGAAAGCAACYGCGAUUCCCUGAGUAGCGGCGAGCGAAACGGGAACAGCCCAAACCAAGAGGCAUGUCCUCUUGGGGUUGUAGGACCGCUCACKRUGGGAGUGAGAAAGGAACGGGGUAGACGAACCGGUCUGGAACGGCCGGCCGGAGAAGGUGAGAGCCCUGUAGUCGAAACUUCGUUCCCUCCCGAGCGGAUCCUGAGUACGGCGGGACACGRGRAAUCCCGUCGGAAGCAGGGAGGACCAUCUCCCAAGGCUAAAUACUCCCUAGUGACCGAUAGUGCACCAGUACCGUGAGGGAAAGGUGAAAAGCACCCCGGGAGGGGAGUGAAAGAGAACCUGAAACCGUGUGCCUACAAGUAGUCAGAGCCCGUUGAUGGGUGAUGGCGUGCCUUUUGUAGAAUGAACCGGCGAGUGACGAUGGCGUGCGAGGUUAAGCCRAAGAGGCGGAGCCGCAGCGAAAGCGAGUCUGAAYAGGGCGUGURAGUACGUCGUCGUCGACCCGAAACCAGGUGAUCUACCCAUGUCCAGGGUGAAGGCCGGGUAACACCGGCUGGAGGCCCGAACCCACGCACGUUGAAAAGUGCGGGGAUGAGGUGUGGGUAGGGGUGAAAUGCCAAUCGAACUUGGAGAUAGCUGGUUCUCCCCGAAAUAGCUUUAGGGCUAGCCUCGGGUUURAGAGUCUUGGAGGUAGAGCACUGAUUGGGCUAGGGGCCCUCAACGGGUUACCGAACCCAGUCAAACUCCGAAUGCCAAYGACUUAUGCCCGGGAGUCAGACUGCGAGUGAUAAGAUCCGUGGUCGAGAGGGGAACAGCCCAGACCGCCAGCUAAGGCCCCGAAGUGCACGUUCAGUGGAAAAGGAUGUGGAGUUGCCGAGACAACCAGGAUGUUGGCUUAGAAGCAGCCACCAUUUAAAGAGUGCGUAAUAGCUCACUGGUCGAGUGACUCUGCGCCGAAAAUGUACCGGGGCUAAACGUGCCGCCGAAGCUGCGGGAUGACCGUUGGUCAUCGGUAGGGGAGCGUUCUAAGGGCAGAGAAGCCAGACCGGAAGGACUGGUGGAGCGCUUAGAAGUGAGAAUGCCGGUAUGAGUAGCGAAAACAGAGGUGAGAAUCCUCUGCGCCGAAAGCCUAAGGGUUCCUGAGGAAGGUUCGUCCGCUCAGGGUUAGUCGGGACCUAAGCCGAGGCCGAAAGGCGUAGGUGAUGGACAACAGGU